CAGGAUGAACGCUGGCGGCGUGCUUAACACAUGCAAGUCGAACGGGAAUGCCGCGCUGAUGCGAUUUCGGUCAAAUCAUGUGGCAUUCGAGUGGCGGACGGGUGAGUAACGCGUGGGUAACCUGCCUUACACAGGGGGAUAACACCUGGAAACAGGUGCUAAUACCGCAUAAGCGCACAGGGCCGCAUGGCCCGGUGUGAAAAACUCCGGUGGUGUAAGAUGGACCCGCGUCUGAUUAGCUUGUUGGCGGGGUAGGGGCCCACCAAGGCGACGAUCAGUAGCCGGCCUGAGAGGGUGGACGGCCACAUUGGGACUGAGACACGGCCCAAACUCCUACGGGAGGCAGCAGUGGGGGAUAUUGGACAAUGGGGGAAACCCUGAUCCAGCGACGCCGCGUGAGUGAAGAAGUAUUUCGGUAUGUAAAGCUCUGUCAGCAGGGAAGAAAGAAAUGACGGUACCUGACCAAGAAGCCCCGGCUAACUACGUGCCAGCAGCCGCGGUAAUACGUAGGGGGCAAGCGUUAUCCGGAAUUACUGGGUGUAAAGGGAGCGUAGACGGUGAUGCAAGUCUGGAGUGAAAGGCGGGGGCCCAACCCCCGGACUGCUCUGGAAACUGUGUAACUUGAGUGCAGGAGAGGUAAGCGGAAUUCCUAGUGUAGCGGUGAAAUGCGUAGAUAUUAGGAGGAACACCAGUGGCGAAGGCGGCUUACUGGACUGUAACUGACGUUGAGGCUCGAAAGCGUGGGGAGCAAACAGGAUUAGAUACCCUGGUAGUCCACGCCGUAAA
RNAcentral lists this ribosomal RNA (786 nucleotides) under uncultured bacterium. RNAcentral's name for it is "bacterial SSU rRNA". It matches the Rfam family "Bacterial small subunit ribosomal RNA", at positions 25 to 806 of the family's 1533-position model. The record is from RNAcentral.